Molecule: long non-coding RNA, 1013 nt
Organism: Candoia aspera
Lineage: Eukaryota; Metazoa; Chordata; Lepidosauria; Squamata; Candoiidae
Exons: 2
Source: RefSeq, a predicted model, not a curated record
AAAAACUUCUGAGUUUCUUUUUUCAGAUCAUUCAAGCCUAAAUUAAACUAGGGUUGUCUAUUUCAUUAAUGAAAUACUGACUAUUCUGUGGCAAGAGGUACAGUAGUGACUUUUUUAGGGAUUAUCAAAAAGCAGCCAGGAGAAACAUUUAAGUCAAAGGAAAUUUGAGAGUUUCUUGAUAAUACCCUUUUUUGAGGAACAUGGACUUAGUAGAAAAAAAGAGAUUGAUGAUUCUUUCACUAAUCAAACGAAACCCAUCUCCUACAUUUCCCGUGCCAUCUCUUCUGCCAAACAAAAUAAGGCCAUAUCACUUUCUUGUAAAACCAAUAUUUUAAUGUACAACAUUCUUUUUUAAAUCCUUACACAUUAUACAUGAAGAACACCAGCUUCGAAACAGCCCAAGGUUUCCCAGGUAACAAAGCUGACGCUUGCAUCUUUUACUAGUUCAGAAGAAAAAUAGGGACUUUGGGAAAGAGAAAUAGGCUAAUCAGCCAGCUUCCAUUAUGAAUUUCACCACCGAAGGUAGCAAUUUUAAAUCUAUCAGGGAGGCAUAGGCUCCACCAGACUCAGGGGAGUAGACAGAGGAUCACACAGGAUACCAAAUAGCACAACUGGUCAACAGUGGUUCCACUGCUGCUUUUUAUCUCUGUUUCAAGAAUGAGCCAGGAUCUCUGGUUGUGUAGUGUGUUGUUGAAUGUCCAAUGCACAAUAUUUAAAAUAUUCACACUACAGAAACGGGGAGCCUUUUGACUGUUGUCUCAUGUUUUAGGGUAUGAAAAAUAACUGGACAAGAAAUUCAAAGUGCAUUUAUAUUGAGUACACAUUAAGAGCCCAACUGCAGAGUUUAAAAACAAAAAUUUUCUUGGGUCUUUGUUGUCUUAAAAGGAUUGUGCCCAACAUGACUUGUAAACAUGUAAAAAUCACUUGUCUACACAUAUUAAAAUGAGUCUCAUGCUUCUGUUAAAUAUGUAACCACCUAUGCUCUCAGGAGAUGAGUAAAGUUAAAAAAGAAA